GGAAAGCGGUAGAUCACUAUGGCUUCUGUACCGUGAAAUGAAGUUUAUGAUAAAUAAAAUACUGCUGCUUGCUGGUCACUGAUUGAAGAUCGUUAAUUGGCUACCAUUGGCCAAUCUCACCAACGGAAUGUAAUAAGAACUGAUGCAGGUUUAUACUUAUAUGUAUUGUCUAUUCGGAACAAAGUUAGUACGCUUUUUAAACCGAUGUUGGAUUUUUCUCGAGAUACAGGCAACCCACUUAACUUUGGAAGUAGUGCGCUGGAUUCGUCUAAAGAUAUGCUAAACAACCGGAGGAAAAUAAAAUAAUUUGUAAAACAAUUAAUUGUAUUGUAUUUUUAUUGUAAUAUUGAAGUAUAAUGUAUUCUAAAUCCUGUUGUAUUUCUAUUGUAAAACAAUAGAAACAGUAAUUGAAAACAUUUAAAACACAAUGUUUUCUAUUGUUUUGUCGCUCGAAAUCAUCCCAUUGAAGAACCGUAAAAUCAAUUGUUUUGCUCCGAAUUUUGUAUGGAAAAUUUUCGAUUUUUUUAUUGUAAAGAUACAUAACAACCCCCCUUUUUAAUUGUAAAAGUCCCAUUUACCAUUCAUUUUAUCGUGGAAAACCAU
This is a long non-coding RNA of Armigeres subalbatus, 603 nucleotides long. RefSeq lists it as uncharacterized. The transcript has 3 exons. The record is from RefSeq and is a predicted model, not a curated record. Lineage: Eukaryota; Metazoa; Arthropoda; Insecta; Diptera; Culicidae.